Molecule: non-coding RNA, 100 nt
Filed under: Listeria fleischmannii
Lineage: Bacteria; Bacillati; Bacillota; Bacilli; Caryophanales; Listeriaceae
Also listed under: 1 other name
Description: SAM-I sequence
Rfam family: SAM riboswitch aptamer (S box leader)
About the family: The SAM riboswitch is found upstream of a number of genes which code for proteins involved in methionine or cysteine biosynthesis in Gram-positive bacteria.
Source: RNAcentral
CACUUAUCCAGAGAGAUGGAGGGAUCUGGCCCUUUGAAAUCUCGGCAACAGCCUUUUGGGCGAUGUGCUAAAUCCAGCAGGGAAACCUGAAAGAUAAGAG